AGCCAGCAAGCAGUUAGCCUUCUUCUACAAAGAAUGGAAGUGUGGAUGAAUCAACAUUAAUUCACUUGGGUGAGACAGAAGAGAGUGGAAUUUCGUGUGUAGGGAUGAAAUCCGCAAAUCUACGAAGGAGCGCCAAAAGCGAAGGCAGCUCUCUGGGUCCCUACCGAUGCUGGGGUGCGAAAGCAUGGGGAGAUAACAUGAUUAGAUACCCUGGCAGUCCAUAUUGUAAACGAUGAGUGUUCGCCCUUGGUCUACACGGAUCAGGGGUCCAGCUAACGCGUGAAACACUA
Beta vulgaris subsp. vulgaris (sugar beet) is the source of this 290-nucleotide non-coding RNA. Lineage: Eukaryota; Viridiplantae; Streptophyta; Magnoliopsida; Caryophyllales; Amaranthaceae. The record is from Rfam.